UACGUAGGGCGCAAGCGUUGUCCGGAAUUAUUGGGCGUAAAGAGCUCGUAGGCGGCCUGUUACGUCUGCUGUGAAAUCCCGGGGCUUAACCCCGGGCGUGCAGUGGAUACGGGCAGGCUGGAGGCAGGCAGGGGAGAACGGAAUUCCCGGUGUAGCGGUGAAAUGCGCAGAUAUCGGGAGGAACACCGGUGGCGAAGGCGGUUCUCUGGGCCUGUACUGACGCUGAGGAGCGAAAGCGUGGGGAGCGAACAG
This 252-nucleotide ribosomal RNA is filed under the name uncultured bacterium. RNAcentral describes it as "partial 16S ribosomal RNA". It matches the Rfam family "Bacterial small subunit ribosomal RNA", at positions 524 to 775 of the family's 1533-position model. The record is from RNAcentral.